This 507-nucleotide long non-coding RNA is filed under the name Homo sapiens (human). RNAcentral's name for it is "HSALNT0157116". Lineage: Eukaryota; Metazoa; Chordata; Mammalia; Primates; Hominidae. The record is from RNAcentral.
GCAGAUCCUCGUUCCUAGCUGCCUGCCAGCGUCCUCGGCCCGGCCCUGAGGAUGGACCCAGGAGAUCCCGCUGGUGACCCUGCCGCUGGCGAGCGCCACCGCAUGGUGGCAUUAAGGGCACUCAUGUGGCUGCACAGCUGCCACCACCGUCCACCUGCAGAACCUUCUCAUCUCACGCAUCUGAAACUCUGCUUUAAAAGAAAAUCUGGGCUGGGCGCGGUGGCUCACGCCUGUCAUCCCAGCACUUUGGGAGGCCGAGGUGGACGGACCAAUUGAGCUCAGGAGUUCAAGACCAGCCUGGCCAACAUGGUGAAAACCCGUCUCUACUAAAAAUACAAAAAUUAGCCAGGCGUAGCGGUGAGCGCCUGUACUCCCAGCUACUCCGGAGGCUGAGGCACGAGAAUCACGAACCUGAGAGGUGGAGGUUGCAGUGAGCCGAGAUCACAGCACUGCACUCCAGCCUGGGUGACAGUGAGACUCCGUCUCUAAAUAAAAUAUUAACUUAAA